UGCCACAGCCAUAUCACCCUGCAGCCCAAGACCGCUUACUCACUAAGCUAAGCAGGGCUGAGCCUGGUCAGUACCUGAAUGGGUGGACCACAUGGGAAAAACUAGGUUGCUGUAGGAA
RNAcentral lists this ribosomal RNA (118 nucleotides) under Danio rerio (zebrafish). The record is from RNAcentral. Lineage: Eukaryota; Metazoa; Chordata; Actinopteri; Cypriniformes; Danionidae.